CAGUCGCGCGGUAAUACGAAGGGUGCAAGCGUUACUCGGAAUUACUGGGCGUAAAGCGUGCGUAGGUGGUGGUUUAAGUCCGUUGUGAAAGCCCUGGGCUCAACUUGGGAAUUGCAGUGGAUACUGGGUCACUAGAGUGUGGUAGAGGAUAGUGGAAUUUCCGGUGUAGCAGUGAAAUGCGUAGAGAUCGGAAGGAACAUCUGUGGCGAAGGCGACUAUCUGGGCCAACACUGACACUGAGGCACGAAAGCGUGGGGAGCAAACAGGAUUAGAUACCCCCGUAGUCCCUGUCUCUUAUACA
RNAcentral lists this ribosomal RNA (301 nucleotides) under uncultured bacterium. Its description in RNAcentral is "partial 16S ribosomal RNA". It matches the Rfam family "Bacterial small subunit ribosomal RNA", at positions 509 to 808 of the family's 1533-position model. The record is from RNAcentral.